GAUGAACGCUGGCGGCGUGCCUAAUACAUGCAAGUCGAGCGAAGCGGGGACGGGUGAGUAACACGUGGAUAACCUCCUAUAAGACUGGGAUAACUUAGGGAAACCGGAGCUAAAACGGAUACUUAUAGCAGAUUCCGCGCGGCAGUAGCUAGUUGGUAAGGUAACGGCUUACCAAGGCAACGAUGUAUAGCCGACCUGAGAGGGUGAUAGGCCACACUGGAACGAAGACACGGUCCAGACUCCUACGGGAGGCAGAAGUAGGGAAUCUUACGCAAUGGGCGAAAGCCUGACGGAGCAACGCCGCGUGAGGGAUGAAGGUCUUCGGGUCGUAAAACUCUGUUAUUAGGGAAGCGGUACCUAAUCAGAAAGCCACGGCUAACUACGUGCCAGCCGCCGCGGUAAUAC
RNAcentral lists this ribosomal RNA (405 nucleotides) under uncultured bacterium. RNAcentral describes it as "partial 16S ribosomal RNA". It matches the Rfam family "Bacterial small subunit ribosomal RNA", at positions 28 to 526 of the family's 1533-position model. The record is from RNAcentral.